CAAAGAUUAAGCCAUGCAUGUCUAAGUAUAAGCGAACUUAUACAGUGAAACUGCGGAUGGCUCAUUAAAACAGUUUGAAUUUAUUUGAUGAAUGUAUGAGAAUACUACUUGGAUAACCGUAGUAAUUCUAGAGCUAAUACAUGCAACGACGCCCGACCGUUUCACUACGGAAGGGCUGUAUUUAUUGGAUACCAAAACCAUCCUUCCCUCGGGAAGUUUUGUUUGAUGAUUCACAAUAACUGAUCGGAUCGCCACUGUGGUGGCGACAGGUCAUUCAACAUUCUGCCCUAUCAGCUUUCGAUGGUUGUGUAGUGGACAACCAUGGCCAUAACGGGUAACGGAGAAUCAGGGUUCGAUUCCGGAGAAGGAGCUUGAGAAUUGGCUACUACAUCUAAGGAAGGCAGCAGGCGCGCAAAUUACCCAAUCCCGAUUCGGGGAGGUAGUGACAAAAAAUAACAAUACCGGGCCUUUUUGGGCUUGGUAAUUGGAAUGAGGGAGAGUUAAACGGACCAUCGAGUAUCCAUUGGAGGGCAAGUCUGGUGCCAGCAGCUGCGGUAAUACCAGCUCCAAUAGCGUAUAUUAAAGUUGUUGCAGUUAAAAAGCUCGUAGUUGGACUUGUGUGCGCUGUCCGCGGGUGGCCUGCGCCCAAAAGGGCGUUUCGGUUCGGCCCCGGUGGCGCCUUGAAAUCUGCAGCUGGGGGGACGUUGGCCUUAACUGGUCGGCGACCGCACGCCGGCUGCUUGGUUACUGUGAGAAAAUUAGAGUGUUCAAGGCAGGCAUUGGGUGCAAUUGAAUACAUUAGCAUGGAAUAAUAAAAUAUGGCUCCUGCCGUAUUUUGUUGGUUUUGACUGGUGGGAGUAAUGAUUGAUAGGGACGGUUGGGGGUGCUAGUAUUGAGCGGCCAGAGGUGAAAUUCAUGGAUUCGCUCAAGACUAACUUAUGCGAAAGCAUUCACCAAGGACGUCCUCUUUAAUCAAGAACGAAAGUUGGGGGAUCGAAGACGAUCAGAUACCGUCGUAGUCUCAACCAUAAACUAUGUCGACUUGGGAUCGGCGGUAGUUUUUUCAUUAAGACACUGUCGGGACCACGGGAGAAAUCAAAGUGUCUGGACUCUGGGGGAAGUAUGGUCGCAAGGCUGAAACUUGAAGGAAUUGACGGAAGGGCACCACCAGGAGUGGAGCCUGCGGCUUAAUUUGACCCAACACGGGGAAACUUACCAGGUCCAGAGAUGUAGAGGAUUGACAGAUUGAAGCUCUUUCUUGAUCACUUCGGUGGUGGUGCAUGGCC
Molecule: ribosomal RNA, 1286 nt
Filed under: metagenome
Description: SSU rRNA
Rfam family: Eukaryotic small subunit ribosomal RNA
Source: RNAcentral